CGCUGGCGGCGUGCCUAACACAUGCAAGUCGAGCGAGGAGAUCCCUUCGGGAUGAUCCUAGCGGCGGACGGGUGAGUAACACGUGGGCAACCUGCCUCAUAGAGAGGAAUAGCCUUCCGAAAGGGAGAUUAAUACCUCAUAACAUUGCAGUUUCGCAUGGAACAGCAAUUAAAGGAGUAAUCCGCUAUGAGAUGGGCCCGCGGCGCAUUAGCUAGUUGGUGAGGUAACGGCUCACCAAGGCGACGAUGCGUAGCCGACCUGAGAGGGUGAACGGCCACACUGGGACUGAGACACGGCCCAGACUCCUACGGGAGGCAGCAGUGGGGAAUCUUCCGCAAUGGACGAAAGUCUGACGGAGCAACGCCGCGUGAAGUGAAGAAGGUUUUCGGAUCGUAAAGCUCUUCCGUUAGGGACGAACGUGCUCUUUGUGAAUAAUGAGGAGUAAUGACGGUACCUAAAUAAGAAGCCACGGCUAACUACGUGCCAGCAGCGGC
Molecule: ribosomal RNA, 494 nt
Filed under: uncultured bacterium
Lineage: Bacteria
Description: bacterial SSU rRNA
Rfam family: Bacterial small subunit ribosomal RNA
Source: RNAcentral